Molecule: long non-coding RNA, 905 nt
Organism: Harmonia axyridis
Lineage: Eukaryota; Metazoa; Arthropoda; Insecta; Coleoptera; Coccinellidae
Exons: 3
Source: RefSeq, a predicted model, not a curated record
UGAAACAAUUGAUGACAGAUUUUGGAAUUAUGUCCAAUACAAGAAUAGCAUAGAAUAGUGAAACCAUCAAGUGAACAUUCUGAAACAUCUAUUGACGUAUGGAACUGUAAAUAGCUCAACAUCAGUGAAUCGCUUCAAUUGAACCGUAAAACGUGUAUAAUAAGUUCGAAGUGAGCUUAAACAAUGGUAUUUCCAGAUCAAAGAGACCUGCAUUUACAUAACUAAACCAAUUCGCGUUUGCUCUGUGAAUCCAUUCGAAUGUUAAUAGGAUCCUUAAUCAGGAGAACGUGUGUGGCUGUUCGUUAAAUUUACACCAACCGCAAACAAAUCAAACAGACACUGUGAGUGCAGGUGACCGGCUGAGAGGACAAAUGAUUUCAUUUUGAGGCUGGUCCGAAAGUGGUUAAACACGAUAACACCAUUACCACCCAGUUUUUCAUCAGUGAGUCAUUAGAGACAAUUUGAUGAAAUAAUGAGGGAUUUAAUGAAAACAUGAGUCAAAUGCUCAGUUCGAGUAAGAGGAAAUAAAAUUAUUUAAAAUAAAUGCUAAAACUUCUCCCUGUCCAAUAGAAGCAAAGAAAAAUGUUAGUUUCUGGUCCCGCGAGUAAGAAUUCAUCGAAAUCCAAUCUGGAAACCAUAGAAGUUCAUAUGCGGAAAUUUAAUUAGAGUAACAACCCACCUGUACUGACAAAUGUCUGAAUUAAUUUUUUGCAUGGUUAUUUGACAAGUACCUAUACCAUCGUAAGCAUCUGGAUAGUUGUUGUUCACAAACAACGUACGAUUUUCUCGCACAAAAGUACCGCAAGACUGCAGAACUACGAUAAAAAUAAAUUAGAAUUGGGAUUUUGAGUUCCUAGAAUGCACUGAUAAAGGAUUUGUGAACAAAAUCAAUUCUGUCUGGCCAG